UGCAAGUCGAACGAUGAACCUCCUUCGGGAGGGGAUUAGUGGCGAACGGGUGAGUAACACGUGGGCAAUCUGCCCUGCACUCUGGGACAAGCCCUGGAAACGGGGUCUAAUACCGGAUAUGACUCGGGAGGGCAUCCUUCCGGGUGGAAAGCUCCGGCGGUGCAGGAUGAGCCCGCGGCCUAUCAGCUUGUUGGUGGGGUGAUGGCCUACCAAGGCGACGACGGGUAGCCGGCCUGAGAGGGCGACCGGCCACACUGGGACUGAGACACGGCCCAGACUCCUACGGGAGGCAGCAGUGGGGAAUAUUGCACAAUGGGCGAAAGCCUGAUGCAGCGACGCCGCGUGAGGGAUGACGGCCUUCGGGUUGUAAACCUCUUUCAGCAGGGAAGAAGCGCAAGUGACGGUACCUGCAGAAGAAGCGCCGGCUAACUACGUGCCAGCAGCCGCGGUAAUACGUAGGGCGCAAGCGUUGUCCGGAAUUAUUGGGCGUAAAGAGCUCGUAGGCGGCUUGUCGCGUCGGAUGUGAAAGCUCGGGGCUUAACCCCGGGUCUGCAUUCGAUACGGGCAGGCUAGAGUGUGGUAGGGGAGAUCGGAAUUCCUGGUGUAGCGGUGAAAUGCGCAGAUAUCAGGAGGAACACCGGUGGCGAAGGCGGAUCUCUGGGCCAUUACUGACGCUGAGGAGCGAAAGCGUGGGGAGCGAACAGGAUUAGAUACCCUGGUAGUCCACGCCGUAAACGUUGGGAACUAGGUGUUGGCGACAUUCCACGUCGUCGGUGC
RNAcentral lists this ribosomal RNA (777 nucleotides) under Streptomyces sp. Its description in RNAcentral is "bacterial SSU rRNA". It matches the Rfam family "Bacterial small subunit ribosomal RNA", at positions 56 to 846 of the family's 1533-position model. Lineage: Bacteria; Bacillati; Actinomycetota; Actinomycetes; Kitasatosporales; Streptomycetaceae. The record is from RNAcentral.